Molecule: non-coding RNA, 45 nt
Organism: Schistosoma curassoni
Lineage: Eukaryota; Metazoa; Platyhelminthes; Trematoda; Strigeidida; Schistosomatidae
Source: Rfam
AUUCAGUUGACGAGUUCCAAAUAGGAUGAAAUGCGUGUCCUGAAU